GAACACUGAGCUUUGCUCACUUGCAAAGCAAACAGCACUCCGGUAUUUAUUCACUGGUUUAUAGCGAGCUUCUCUUUAUUUCACGUCAAACAAGCACUCCAAAGCCUCCUGGGUGAGAACAAGCCAGGCUGCACUAACGCCCAAACACGCGUGGGCGGACCCGCGUCCCCGCUUGGAGAUAGAAGGGCAUCGGAACAGCGUGGAGCAGAGGAAACCUGUCUCUCGCCUGUUACCUGCCUGCCUGCCCUAGAGAGCCAAACCUGAAGAUCUCACUCUGGAAUCCACCUGCUACUCUCUGGGAAAGAGCUAUCACUCAAACCAAGGUCUGACACUAACAGUCAGAAGCUAGACGCUGCGGCUGCUGAGCACUCUGCUGAACCAACAGUCUCUGGACCCAACCGGUUCCCUCUCUCAGAGAAGAAAGCCUGAACCUAGUCAAGACGCCUGAGAAUCCCUCCCGGACCUGUUUCCAGAAUCCAGUUCUUGUUUACUUGUACAAACCUUUUAAAUAAACUCUGUUUGAACUUUUAACCAGUCUCCAGUGGUGUU
Molecule: long non-coding RNA, 549 nt
Organism: Cyprinodon tularosa
Lineage: Eukaryota; Metazoa; Chordata; Actinopteri; Cyprinodontiformes; Cyprinodontidae
Exons: 3
Source: RefSeq, a predicted model, not a curated record